UGGGGAAUAUUGCACAAUGGGCGCAAGCCUGAUGCAGCCAUGCCGCGUGUGUGAAGAAGGCCUUCGGGUUGUAAAGCACUUUCAGCGAGGAGGAAGGUGGUGAGCUUAAUACGCUCAUCAAUUGACGUUACUCGCAGAAGAAGCACCGGCUAACUCCGUGCCAGCAGCCGCGGUAAUACGGAGGGUGCAAGCGUUAAUCGGAAUUACUGGGCGUAAAGCGCACGCAGGCGGUUUGUUAAGUCAGAUGUGAAAUCCCCGGGCUCAACCUGGGAACUGCAUUUGAAACUGGCAAGCUAGAGUCUCGUAGAGGGGGGUAGAAUUCCAGGUGUAGCGGUGAAAUGCGUAGAGAUCUGGAGGAAUACCGGUGGCGAAGGCGGCCCCCUGGACGAAGACUGACGCUCAGGUGCGAAAGCGUGGGGCAGCAAACAGGAUUAGAUACCCUGGUAGUCCACGCUGUAAACGAUGUCGAUUUUGGAGGUUGUGCCCUUGAGACGUGGCUUCCGGAGCUAACGCGUUAAAUCGACCGCCUGGGGAGUACGGCCGCAAGGUUAAAA
Molecule: ribosomal RNA, 554 nt
Filed under: uncultured bacterium
Lineage: Bacteria
Description: partial 16S ribosomal RNA
Rfam family: Bacterial small subunit ribosomal RNA
Source: RNAcentral